GAUGAACGCUGGCGGCGUGCCUAAUACAUGCAAGUCGAGCGAACAGACGAGGAGCUUGCUCCUCUGACGUUAGCGGCGGACGGGUGAGUAACACGUGGAUAACCUACCUAUAAGACUGGGAUAACUUCGGGAAACCGGAGCUAAUACCGGAUAAUAUAUUGAACCGCAUGGUUCAAUAGUGAAAGACGGUUUUGCUGUCACUUAUAGAUGGAUCCGCGCCGCAUUAGCUAGUUGGUAAGGUAACGGCUUACCAAGGCAACGAUGCGUAGCCGACUUGAGAGGGUGAUCGGCCACACUGGAACUGAGACACGGUCCAGACUCCUACGGGAGGCAGCAGUAGGGAAUCUUCCGCAAUGGGCGAGAGCCUGACGGAGCAACGCCGCGUGAGUGAUGAAGGUCUUCGGAUCGUAAAACUCUGUUAUUAGGGAAGAACAAAUGUGUAAGUAACUAUGCACGUCUUGACGGUACCUAAUCAGAAAGCCACGGCUAACUACGUG
Molecule: ribosomal RNA, 497 nt
Filed under: uncultured bacterium
Lineage: Bacteria
Description: partial 16S ribosomal RNA
Rfam family: Bacterial small subunit ribosomal RNA
Source: RNAcentral